Molecule: ribosomal RNA, 499 nt
Filed under: uncultured bacterium
Lineage: Bacteria
Description: bacterial SSU rRNA
Rfam family: Bacterial small subunit ribosomal RNA
Source: RNAcentral
ACGAACGCUGGCGGCGUGCCUAAUACAUGCAAGUCGAGCGGAAUGAUGAUGAAGCUUGCUUCUUCUGAUUUUAGCGGCGGACGGGUGAGUAACACGUGGGCAACCUACCUUGUAGAUUGGGAUAACUCCGGGAAACCGGGGCUAAUACCGAAUAAUCCAUUUUGCUUCAUGGCGAGAUGUUGAAAGACGGUUUCGGCUGUCACUACAAGAUGGGCCCGCGGCGCAUUAGCUAGUUGGUAGGGUAAUGGCCUACCAAGGCGACGAUGCGUAGCCGACCUGAGAGGGUGAUCGGCCACACUGGGACUGAGACACGGCCCAGACUCCUACGGGAGGCAGCAGUAGGGAAUCUUCCACAAUGGACGAAAGUCUGAUGGAGCAACGCCGCGUGAGUGAAGAAGGUUUUCGGAUCGUAAAACUCUGUUGUAAGGGAAGAACACGUACGAGAGUAACUGCUCGUACCUUGACGGUACCUUAUUAGAAAGCCACGGCUAACUACGUG